This is a non-coding RNA of Turdus rufiventris (rufous-bellied thrush), 80 nucleotides long. NCBI's taxonomy places the organism in Eukaryota, Metazoa, Chordata, Aves, Passeriformes, Turdidae. The record is from the annotation of a GenBank genome assembly.
GGGCCACCAUGGCUCAGGGCAGUUCAGGGUGGCUCGGGGCUACCCAUGUUUCAGGGCGGUUCGGGGCUGCCCGCGGCUCG